CCAGGAAAAACCAAAGCCAGCUCUGUACAGACCUGCGUUUUUAUAGCUGCUAUACUAUUCUGCUGUGCUGUUUUUUUUCCUCCCCGGCCAGACAGACACCACAAAACUG
Molecule: small RNA, 109 nt
Filed under: Mola mola (ocean sunfish)
Lineage: Eukaryota; Metazoa; Chordata; Actinopteri; Tetraodontiformes; Molidae
Description: HOXA11 antisense RNA 1 conserved region 5 (ENSMMOG00000000915.1)
Source: RNAcentral